CUACGGGGCGCUGCAGUGGGGAAUAUUGCACAAUGGAGGAAACUCUGAUGCAGCAACGCCGCGUGGAGGAUGACACUUUUCGGAGCGUAAACUCCUUUUAUAUAGGAAGAAGAUGACGGUACUAUAUGAAUAAGCGCCGGCUAACUCCGUGCCAGCAGCCGCGGUAAUACGGAGGGCGCAAGCGUUACUCGGAAUCACUGGGCGUAAAGAGCGUGUAGGCGGAUUAAAAAGUCAGAAGUGAAAUCCUAUAGCUCAACUAUAGAACUGCUUUUGAAACUCUUAAUCUAGAAUAUGGGAGAGGUAGAUGGAAUUUCUGGUGUAGGGGUAAAAUCCGUAGAGAUCAGAAGGAAUACCGAUUGCGAAGGCGAUCUACUAGAACAUUAUUGACGCUGAGACGCGAAAGCGUGGGGAGCAAACAGGAUUAGAUACCCGAGUAGUC
This 439-nucleotide ribosomal RNA is filed under the name uncultured bacterium. Its description in RNAcentral is "partial 16S ribosomal RNA". It matches the Rfam family "Bacterial small subunit ribosomal RNA", at positions 339 to 795 of the family's 1533-position model. The record is from RNAcentral.